AACGAACGCUGGCGGCAGGCCUAACACAUGCAAGUCGAGCGCCCCGCAAGGGGAGCGGCAGACGGGUGAGUAACGCGUGGGAAUCUACCUAGUGGUACGGAAUAACCCCGGGAAACUUGGAGUAAUACCGUAUACGCCCGAAAGGGGAAAGAUUUAUCGCCAUUAGAUGAGCCCGCGUUGGAUUAGCUAGUAGGUGGGGUAACGGCCCACCAAGGCGACGAUCCAUAGCUGGUCUGAGAGGAUGAUCAGCCACACUGGGACUGAGACACGGCCCAGACUCCUACGGGAGGCAGCAGUGGGGAAUAUUGGACAAUGGGCGCAAGCCUGAUCCAGCCAUGCCGCGUGAGUGACGAAGGUCUUCGGAUUGUAAAGCUCUUUUGGCGGGGACGAUAAUGACGGUACCCGCAGAAUAAGCCCCGGCUAACUUCGUGCCAGCAGCCGCCGCAG
Molecule: ribosomal RNA, 447 nt
Filed under: uncultured bacterium
Lineage: Bacteria
Description: partial 16S ribosomal RNA
Rfam family: Bacterial small subunit ribosomal RNA
Source: RNAcentral